AAGUGGCUGCGGGUGCUGGGGCCGCUGCGCCGGCGGCGGUUCCCCAAGUGGAGGUCCGUCCUGGGUGGGGAGGCACGGAAGGUCGCUGGUUCGAUGCGGAGGAAGAAACCACACCUAGCACUUAAAGCCCUGACAAAAUAGAGGUUUUGAUAAGGUGAAAAGGAAAGUCACCAGGCUUACUCAGACCUGCCAGCUCUCGGAGUCCUUGGUGGUUGAAAUUGGAGAAAGACCACAAGAAGACACUUAUGUACAGUAGAGUUUUCCAGAGGCUACAUGACAUGCAGUAUCACAACGGAAGCAAAUAUAAGAAUCCACCUGUCUCCUAUUAAAAUGCAAAAUGUAAAACAGUACCACUUUCCUAACUGUUUUUGUUUGUGGAAAUAUA
Nomascus leucogenys (northern white-cheeked gibbon) is the source of this 385-nucleotide long non-coding RNA. RefSeq lists it as uncharacterized. NCBI's taxonomy places the organism in Eukaryota, Metazoa, Chordata, Mammalia, Primates, Hylobatidae. The record is from RefSeq and is a predicted model, not a curated record. The transcript has 3 exons.